GAGGGAUCCCACAGAGCCCCCCUCCCAGUGGUCAGGUCUUUGUGACAUCUCCUGCCCAGCAGUGUGAGUUGGACCUAGCAACACUCUUCUAACAGAGUACAGCAGAAGUGAUGGGAUGUCACUUCUGAGAUUGGGUUAGAAAGAGAUUCUGGCUUCAAUCUUGCUCACCAGCUCUUGUUCUCUCUUGCUUUCUCCCUUGCUUGCUCUGAGGGAAGUACUGCCAUGUUGUGAGCUGCCCUAUGGAUAGACCCAUGUGGCAGGAAACUGAUAACUCUGGCAAACAGCCAGCCAGGAUCUAACGCCUGCCAACAGCCGCAGGAGUAAGCUUGGAAGUGGGUCUUUUGACACCUGCCAACAGCCACAUGGGUGAGCUUGGAAGCAAAUUCUCCCCCACUUAAGCCUUGAGAGGACUGUAGCCCCAGCCAACACCUUGAUUGCAGUCUUAUUAGAGACCUUGAGCCAGAGGACCCAGCUAAGACAUCCUGCUGUAUUCAUAGGGUCUAAACCAAAUAAGGCAGAAUGUGAAGGAAAAAAAGCAGGUGGCUGAGAACAGAACCUGAGGAACAUGAAAAGCACUGGUGGAGGAAGAGGAGCCCAUAAAGGACACGACACAUAUCUGGAGAGGCACGAGGAGAAUCAGGAGCAUGCGACGUGGUGGAACUCGGGGAAAUUGUGGUCCACAGAGACUAAAACAGCAGAGAAGGGGAAUGCCAACAACUGAAGAAUGCCCAUUUGAUCAGAAAUCGAGGAACUGAGACAGCAGCAUAGACUACUUUGAAAAGCUUUGACAGGAAGAAGAGAAAGCGUAGAGAUGUGAGAUCAAGGGAAUGGUCCCGGUUUCGUUUUUAGGGUUGUUUUGGAUAUCUGCUGCUACAUACGAAACCACUCGAAAACUUACAACUUAAAGAUGUAUUAUCUUUCAGGAUUCUAUCAAUUAAUACAGUAGCUCUUCUGCUGGUCUCUCCUUUGGUCACUCUUGGGUGUAUAUUCAGCUGGUGGGGCAUCUGCUGGGGGGACACUAGGCUUCUCUCUCCAUGUGGUGUCAGAACCUUUCUCACAAAGUGGUCACUCAUGCUCCAGGGCCUCUGCCACAUGGCCAUUCUCUCCAGCAGGACAGUCUGGACUUCCUUGUGACAUGGCGGCUGGCUCCAAAAGGGAAUAAUCCAAGAGAGAUCAGCUCAGUGUGCAAGCACUUACCAAGCCUCUACCUGCGUCACACCUGCUAAGGACCUUUUAGCCAAAGCAAAUGACAUGGUCAAGUCUAGAGUCCACAUGGGAGGGGACUACACAAGGGUGUGAAUACUGGGAGAACCGAGAGGUGGAAUCUAUCCAUAUAAUAAUCCUAUAAGGAUGGGGUUUUUUCCCUUAAUAUGAUACAGACCUAAAAAUGUUUCUAGGCUGAGCCCAAAAUAACUAAUUGAAAGGGAGACACUGAAGAUACUAAUAGAGUCCCAGAGUCUCUACCCCAAUGCAACAUGGGGUAGAGACUUGGAAUUUGUGGUAACACCAACUCCACCAUCAUUUUGCUUCUCCGUCAACACUCAGUCUGCAUGUUGAAGCUGAGGAAGCUGAUAAGUUUUGAUCCAAGUGUAGAAUUUGGUCAUUGGGUGCUGCAGAAGGAGAGUGGUGCCAGGGAAUUGUGGGUUACUGGAGAGAGUAAACUGAAGAAGAGAAACAGGUUCUGACUCCAUAGGUAAGAAAGAGAGGCCAGGAGGGGACCGACAGAGGAAAGAGAGGAGUCAUGAAACUGGAGAUCUCUACAGGUUCAAAAUAGACUGAACUGUGAAUAAAGAUGUGAGGAAAGGAAGAGAAGUUGAAGCCCAAAGAGGUCCAAGA
Molecule: long non-coding RNA, 1836 nt
Organism: Equus caballus (horse)
Lineage: Eukaryota; Metazoa; Chordata; Mammalia; Perissodactyla; Equidae
Source: Ensembl